This 576-nucleotide long non-coding RNA is filed under the name Bos mutus (wild yak). Its description in RNAcentral is "lncRNA (ENSBMUG00000014523.1)". Lineage: Eukaryota; Metazoa; Chordata; Mammalia; Artiodactyla; Bovidae. The record is from RNAcentral.
CACUAAUAACUACUUCCCCAAUCACUUUGGUGAAGAAAUGAAUCCCGCCCAGCUCGUCAGUCCAGCCGGGUCUCCGUUCUGUCUUGCUCUCCAGACUCCUCUUCUUCGUGAAAGCCAGGUUUGAAAGUCCUUUUUGCUUCUUCGCCUUUGGUGUUUUGGUGUGGCGGGCGGGGGCAGUGUCACUUUAACUCCAGUCUACACCGCCAAGGGCCUCCAGACUCGUAAAGUGCCUGGGACGCAUGUGGGGUGCGCGACUCUGCUAGCGCGCGCCCGAGCCCCGCGGCUCUUGCCCGAGCCUUUGGGUCCGCUCUCUCCCCGCCUCCCCCCGCCCCACCCCUCCGAGUGUCGCGGCACCAACUAAUCUUCUCCUUUUCGUUUGCAAGAUCAAGGGAGAGAGCAAGCCGGCUCCCGGCCUUGGACUCUGAGCCGCGCGCCGCUAGCUCCGCGGCGGGUCAGCCCCGAACCUGUGAAGGGCUCCACGCUCCUGCCAGCCAGCCCACGCCAGGGAUACUGCAGCCCGGGGAGGCAACUGGAGCUAAUCCGGCGGCAGGUUUAAAUGUUUUUUGACUACUUGGC